ACCGACGGGAGCUUGCUCCCUUAGGUUAGCGGCGGACGGGUGAGUAACACGUGGGUAACCUGCCUGUAAGACUGGGAUAACUCCGGGAAACCGGGGCUAAUACCGGAUGCUUGAUUGAACCGCAUGGUUCAAUUAUAAAAGGUGGCUUUUAGCUACCACUUACAGAUGGACCCGCGGCGCAUUAGCUAGUUGGUGAGGUAACGGCUCACCAAGGCGACGAUGCGUAGCCGACCUGAGAGGGUGAUCGGCCACACUGGGACUGAGACACGGCCCAGACUCCUACGGGAGGCAGCAGUAGGGAAUCUUCCGCAAUGGACGAAAGUCUGACGGAGCAACGCCGCGUGAGUGAUGAAGGUUUUCGGAUCGUAAAACUCUGUUGUUAGGGAAGAACAAGUACCGUUCGAACAGGGCGGUGACCUUGACGGUACCUAACCAGAAAGCCACGGCUAACUACGUGCCAGCAGCCGCGGUAAUACGUAGGUGGCAAGCGUUGUCCGGAAUUAUUGGGCGUAAAGCGCGCGCAGGCGGUUUCUUAAGUCUGAUGUGAAAGCCCCCGGCUCAACCGGGGAGGGUCAUUGGAAACUGGGGAACUUGAGUGCAGAAGAGGAGAGUGGAAUUCCACGUGUAGCGGUGAAAUGCGUAGAGAUGUGGAGGAACACCAGUGGCGAAGGCGACUCUCUGGUCUGUAACUGACGCUGAGGCGCGAAAGCGUGGGGAGCGAACAGGAUUAGAUACCCUGGUAGUCCACGCCGUAAACGAUGAGUGCUAAGUGUUAGAGGGUUUCCGCCCUUUAGUGCUGCAGCAAACGCAUUAAGCACUCCGCCUGGGGAGUACGGUCGCAAGACUGAAACUCAAAGGAAUUGACGGGGGCCCGCACAAGCGGUGGAGCAUGUGUGUUUAAUUCGAAGCAACGCGAAGAACCUUACCAGGUCUUGACAUCCUCUGACACCCCUAGAGAUAGGGCUUCCCCUUCGGGGGCAGAGUGACAGGUGGUGCAUGGUUGUCGUCAGCUCGUGUCGUGAGAUGUUGGGUUAAGUCCCGCAACGAGCGCAACCCUUGAUCUUAGUUGCCAGCAUUCAGUUGGGCACUCUAAGGUGACUGCCGGUGACAAACCGGAGGAAGGUGGGGAUGACGUCAAAUCAUCAUGCCCCUUAUGACCUGGGCUACACACGUGCUACAAUGGGCAGAACAAAGGGCAGCGAAGCCGCGAGGCUAAGCCAAUCCCACAAAUCUG
RNAcentral lists this ribosomal RNA (1234 nucleotides) under Bacillus sp. FPZSP325. RNAcentral's name for it is "bacterial SSU rRNA". It matches the Rfam family "Bacterial small subunit ribosomal RNA", at positions 68 to 1284 of the family's 1533-position model. The record is from RNAcentral. Lineage: Bacteria; Bacillati; Bacillota; Bacilli; Caryophanales; Bacillaceae.